Molecule: RNA transcript, 8753 nt
Organism: Rosa rugosa (rugosa rose)
Lineage: Eukaryota; Viridiplantae; Streptophyta; Magnoliopsida; Rosales; Rosaceae
Gene name: inositol phosphorylceramide glucuronosyltransferase 1-like
Exons: 2
Source: RefSeq, a predicted model, not a curated record
AUGAAGAUGAGAACCAAUUUUUCUCAAUACUACUUAGCAACGUGUGCCGUUGACUCUGGAGAACAAAACUUAAUCCCACCACCUCUAUGCUUCUGCGCAUAUCACCAAGGCAUCACCCUAACUCGUUUCGAACAACAACUCCCAACACCAACAACUGGUUCUGCGCAUAUCACCAAGCGCAAAAGUGAGACCGCUGCAGAUGGCGAGGAGUCUACUGCGACAAACCAAAUGGCCAUGUUACUCGACUUCGUCUUGGAGACCAAUAUUUGGGAGGUACGGUUACUCCUAAACUCAUUCAGUUGCAGCAUUUGGAAUUUUUGCAUCUCCAAUUCGAUAUAUGGGAGCCAAAUUCCAAAGUUCAUUGGUUCCUUUACCAACUUAAGCGUACCUUCAUCUUUUUGGAUUUUAUGGCAAAUUGCUAUAUGGCCCAUAUCAGCUAAGAAACCUUACACACUUACAAUAUGUGAUAACUACCUUGAUGUACAAGAAAAUAACCUCAAUUGGCUUCCGUAUCUUUCUACUUUAAAAUACUUGGAUCUGAGUUCGAACAAUCUCGAUAACGUAAUUGAUUGGCUGGAAACGGCCGGUAAACAAGCUCCCCAAUCUAAGAAAUCCACUUUUUCUCACAUAAUUUCUUCCAAAUCUCUUGCUAGAGUUGACCUGUUUUACAACCCGGAUGUCAGUGCCACUACUUGCUCAAUGAGAUGGAAGUUUCUCAUGAAGUUUCCACGAAAUUUAAUGAGAUGGAAGUUUCCACGAAAUUUCAGUCUCUUAGUAAUCGAUAUUUCCUCAAUAGUUUGGUCAUUGACUGAGACUUACUUGGAGCUCUUGAAGAAGCCCCAAUGGACCGAGGGCAUCACCUCCCAAGCAUUCGACGGAAUCCGAAUCAGAAUCAUCGGCCACCGCGGUCGGCGAUCUGGUCAACUCGCGCUCCGAAGCGGCCUGAGGGUGGUCGGCGACGAGUUCUCGUUCCUCCGAGUCCGCGGCCUCCGCUCGCUCCUUAAGUUCCUCCGAUCCGUCGUCGAGUCCGACUCCACCAUCAACCUCUUCUCCCCGACCCAAUCCAUAUUUUCGCACUUGGAAUUUCAUAUUUUAUUAAUCUGUGAUUUCUGACGGAUGUGUGCUUGGAUGCUUUGACUGCGAUUAUGUUGGAUUCAUCGGCUAAUCAAAUGGACUUUGAGGCACUUAAUGGUAUCGAGGAAGUUGCAGAGCUUAUAAGAGACAAGCAAGUUGAUGAGAAUCUCAGGUUAGUUACUCGUUAUAUGUUAAUGGAUCUUUUUUUUUUUUUUUCAUAUGCUAACUUCCAUUAUAUAAUAUCUAGCAUUUAAUGUUAAGAUGAUAGUUCCACUGAAUUGAGUUACGAUUUGAGGCUUUAUCCACGUAUAAUGGUUUUGGGAGGCCAAAUUCUUUAAAAACGAUAUUUCUUUCCUGAUAGUUACUGGAAAAAAUGUGAGUUUUUUCAACAAUAGCUUUAUGGUAACAACAUGAUUUCUGUGUGCGCUCCUUUCUUCUUCAUAAUCCCUGCAUAUCUAUCAUCAGUACAGAUGUUUGUUGGCAAUUUGAUGUUGAGAGGUUAUUGUCACCGUCCUUGGUCAUCAUGUGAAGCUUUUAUCUGCUAAUUGUUGGUUAUGAAGGGUGAAUUCUUUGAGUUGAAAAUAUUGCUCGAUAGAUAUUUUUUUUCCCCACUAUAGCUUUAUGGUAGCCAUAUGUUUUCUGUGUGUUCUACUUGGUUCUUCCUAAUCCCUAUGCAACUGUUGUUGGUACUGCUAUUUUUUGGCUUGUAAACUAAUCAAAUCGGAAAUCAUUUGAUCAUAAAACCAACAAUCGAGUAAAUUCACCGUUUAUUCAUUAAUUGGCUAAUUAAACAAUUUCUAAGAUUGAUUUCUCUACAAAUGAUUUUAGAUAAUAUAAUAAUUAGUAUGACUGAUUUUGAUCAUCAUAUUACAUUGUAUUAUGAACAUGACGGAGUUUGGACGGAUGUGUCCAAGCUCAAUUUGACAAGAUAAUGAAAUUUUCUUUUUGACAUUGAUAUUUUGUGACGUUAAAUUUUGUCUUUUGUAAUUUUAUCUCGUUAGCACUCAUUCAAAAUUCCAAGUACUUCAAACAAUAAAUCCAUCAUGUUCUUGCUAGUUUGGACUAACAAAACCUAAAUAGAUUAGAGGACUUAUCAAUAUUUAUUGCGCUAUGGUCAUAUAUAGAAAUAAAAGCUGAUGAGACAUAUACAGAUCAGAUGGGGAGGAAAGCUAAUAUAGUUACCCAAAAGAAAAAAGCUAUAGUUACCCAAAAGAAAAGAGCUAGAGUAAAGAAACUACUAUAAUGAUGGUGAGGCUGCAUAUGUGGUUGCCAUAUGCAUUAUUACUCCAAAACAUAAGUUUGAACUACUUCAUGAUUGUCGUCCGCAACUAUGAACUACUCUUCCAUUCAAGGGAAGCAUGCAUCUACUUCUCUCGAAAGCUGUAGGACCUAAACAUACACAAAAUCAUAAUCACGAUAAGUACCACAAAAGAAAGCUACUACUUUGUAUUUGUGAGAGUGUGUGUGUGUGUGAGAGAGAGAGAGUGUGUGUGUGUGUGAGUGAGAGAGAGAGCUAAGUACCAUAAAAGAAAGCUACUACUUUGUAUUUGUGAGAGUGUGUGUGUGUGUGUGAGUGAGUGAGAGAGAGAGAGAGAGAGAGAGAGAGAGAGAGAGAGAGAGAGAUUACCACUUAGUUAUGAUGAAAUAAACUAGUCAAUCAAUUCUCUAGCCUCUUGAUCAAAGUUAUCCUCACAUAAAGCCGGUCGUUUAGAAGAUUUAAGAACUUAUAGUAUGCAUAUCUCCAUGACUGUCAAAAACCAAACUGCCACAAACUCUUAAGAAUACAUCAAAAAAUCCAAGACCUACACUGAUGUAAAAUCCUUGUGUGAUGAGCCCAAUGUCGUUCUUGAUCCCAAAGUUCUUGUGGACUGUUUUCCGAAUCUAGAAAACUUGACUUCUCAAGUGAAAUCCACAAAGGUGAGGAUUUCCCAAAAAGUAGAAGGCAUUGUAGUUUUGGAGCUGAGAACCCUUUGGAAUAUUUCCGGAAAUGUUGUUGUGUGACAAGUCCAAAUAACCAAGACCAUAUAUUUGAAAUCCACUUGUUGGAAUUGUGCCAUGUUAUAGGUUUCUUGAUAAAUCAAGGGAAUUUAAUGAUUGCAGCAUUCCAUUCUCUCGAGUUAUUUGACUUGUUAAAUGGUUUCUCGACAAGUUAAGAGAAACUGACUCAAAAAGACAAGUGAUUUCAUUGGGAAUAUCCCCUGUCAACUUGUUGCUCGAGAGAUCGAAACUCUACAAGUCCCAAUUUACUUUUGUUCUUGGACAAUUUUCCUUUCCAUGUGAUGGUUAUUUCAUCUUCAUAUAACUUCUCCCAUAAUGAAACACGUGUUCAAUCUCCUUACCUUUAUUGACAAGACUAGGUCCAUUAUUCAUUCUGUAUAUGUGAUUAAUGGUUGGAUUAAUUGAAUUUUCGCUAUGAGCCAUAGCAAUCAAAUUGUUGAUACAUUUGUGUAUACUUCUAGAGAUGUCAUUGAUUGACAAAUCUAAAAUUUGAAUGCUUGUGAGAUGACAUAUAUAAUCGUGAAGGAAUGCUACCAUUGAAGAUACUGGAUUGAAGGAUAAGUAUAACCGAAUUUGCAAAUCGAACCCUUAACCACUUAGGUAUAGGUCUUGAAAAUUUAUUGUUUUAAAGACCUAAAACUUUUAAAUUUGUGCAAUUCUUCAGGGAAUAAAAUUUUCCCACAAAUUUGUUGUUAUCUAGUUUCAAUGACUCAACAGAAACUAAGUUUCCCAUUGUGUUAGAACUCUUCCUGAAAUUGCAUUGUUACUCAAAUCAAGAAAGAUUAGAUUUUCUAAUAAAUGUGUCUAACUAUUUGGAAUUUCCCCCGAUAGAUUAUUACUUUAGAGAUCAAGAAAGGUUAAAUUGCUAACCGCAGCACACAAGAAUGAAGCUGACCAUAAAAAUUUAUUAUUAGAGAUAUCCGCAAAUAAAAAAAUCAUUGACAAGACGAUUGGACCUUCCAAUAGAUUCCGACUCAAAUUAAGUCUAGAAUUAUAUACAAACUCGAAUCUCAAAUUUUCCAAUGUUUCUCUAAUUAGUUUGUAUAUAAUUCUGGAUUUAAUUUGAGUAGGAAUCUAUUGGAAGGUCUAAUUGUCUGGUCAAUGAUUUUUUUAUUUGCGGAUAUCCCUAAUAAUAAAUUUUCAGGGUCAGCUUCAUUCUUAUGUGCUGUGGUUAGUAAUUUAACAUUUCUUGAUCUCUAAAGCAAUAAUCUAUCGGGGGAACUUCCAAAUAGUUAGACACAUUUAUUAGAAAAUCUAAUCUUUCUUGAUUUGAGUAACAAUGCAAUUUCAGGAAGAGUUCUAACCACAAUGGGAAACUUAGUUUAUGUUGAGUCAUUGAAACUAGAUAACAACAAAUUUGUGGGAAAAUUUUAUUCUCUGAAGAAUUGCACAAAUUUAAAAGCUUUAGGUCUUGAAAACAAUAAAUUUUCAGGACCUAUACCUAAGUGGUUAAGGGUUCGAUUUGCAAAUUCGGUUAUACUUAUCCUUCAAUCCAAUAUCUUCAAUGGUAGCAUUCCUUCUCGAUUAUGUCAUCUUACAAGCAUUCAAAUUUUAGAUUUGUCAAUCAAUGACAUCUCUAGAAGUAUACACAAAUGUAUCAACAAUUUGAUUGCUAUAGCUCAUAGCGAAAAUCCAAUUGAUCCAACCAUUAAUCACAUAUACAGAAUGAAUAAUGGACCUAGUCUUGUCAAUAAAGGUAAGGAGAUUGAACACGUGUUUCAUUAUGGGAGAAGUUAUAUGAAGAUGAAAUAACCAUCACAUGGAAAAGAAAAUUGUUCAAGGACAAAAGUAAAUUGGGACUUGUAGAGUGUCGAUCUCUCGAGCAACAAGUUGAUAGGGGAUAUUCCCAAUGAAAUCACUUGUCUUUUUGGGUCAGUUUCUCUUAACUUGUCGAGAAACCAUUUAACUGGUCAAAUAACUCGAGAGAAUGGAAUGCUGCAGUCAUUAAAUUCCCUUGAUUUAUCAAGAAACCUAUUACAUGGCACAAUUCCAACAAGUGGAUUUCAAAUAUAUGGUCUUGGUUAUUUGGGCUUGUCACAUAACAACCUUUUUGAAAAGAUUUCCAUGAUUUAUCAAGAAACCUAUACAUGGCGCAAUUCCAACAAGCAUUUUUCAAAUAUCUGGUCUUGGUUAUUUGGACUUGUGUUAGAAAUCCUCAACUUUAUGGACUUCCACUUGAGAGGUCCUGUUCUCUAGAUUCGGAACACAAUCCAGAACAAGUUGAGUACUCUUGGAAUCAAGAAAAUGACGAUGGGCUUAUUACACAAGGAUUAAUUUUACAUCAGUGUAGGGCUUGGAUUCUUGGGAGUUUGUGGCAGUUUGAUUUUCAACAAGUCAUGGAGAUACACAUACUACAAAUUCUUUAAUCUUCUGAACAACCGGCUUUAUGUAAGGAUAACUUUGAUCAUGAGGCAACUAAAGAAUAGACUAGCUUAGUUCAUCAUAACUAAGCGGUAAUCUCUCUCUCUCUCUCUCUCUCUCUCUCUUUCUUUCUCACACACACACAUACAAUACGAAGUAGUAGCUUUGUUUUAUGGUACUUAUCGCAAUUAUGAUUUUGUGUAUGUUUAGGUUGAUCCUGUAGCUUCCACGAGAAGUAGAUGCAUACUUCGCUUGACUUGAAGUGUUCAUAGUUGCAGACGAUGAUAAUGAAGCAAUACAAGCUUAUGUUUUGGAGUAAUAAUGCAUAUGGCAACCAUAUAUGCUGCUUCAGCAUCAUUGUAGUAGUUUCUUUACUCUAGCUUUUGCCUUUUUGGCAACUAUAUUAGCUUUCCUCCCAAUUUGAUCUGUCUAUGUUUCUUGAGCUGGGGUUUGAGUGCACUGGGUUAACUAGGGCUACGUUUGGGGGGGGGCUUUUUUGCUCCCCCGCUUAUAACUUUAUAAGCACCUCAACCAUUUCCGUUUGGUAAACUAGCUUCUGGCCGACUUUUUCCAGAAGCCACCGCUUCUUUGGUCGAAAAGCCAAAGCCGCCAACCCCUUGCUUUUAGAAGAAGGCAACGGCUUUUCUUGCUGUAGCGGUAUAUACUGUAGUUUAAUGAAAUUUUUGAAAUACCGGGAUGUAUCCUCUAUUCCUUUCAGCAAUUACACAAUGCCAUGAAACCCUUCUCUUCCGUGUUCAAAGUCGAAGUGAGAGAGCUGCACCGCAGUGAACACAAACGCACAAGCCAUCUUGCUGACUGCCUUCACCUCGCCUCUCAUCCGUGUUCGAAAUCGAAGCCUCAAUCCUUGAUUGCCGGCUGCUUGGAAAUUUGAUUCACGGUUAGUUUAUAUCUAUAUCAGUUUCAAUUUAUUUGAAAAAGAGGUAUUAUAGGUUGAUUUGGGUUUCAAUUUCAGUUUCAAGUUCAAGUUCAAUUUCAGUUUCAAGUUCAGUUUUGUAUCUAUUAUAGGUUGAUUUCAGUUUCAAUUCGUGUAAUUGGGUAUUGAAUUAAUGAGUUUCUAGGUUGAUUUGGGACAAUCAGGUAAAGCUUAUUCAUCUAUGGAGUCAUUGCUCGGUCUUUGAUUUGGGACAAUCCGAGUGUUUUGUAGUAGGGGAGGAGAUUUAGAGGUGUGCUCAGAGGUAGUUCUAGGCUCUAAGAAGAGCAAUGAAGGUGGGAUAGAUGACAGACACCUUAGGAAGAAUGUAAUGGGGAGAAUUGAGCUAGAGGAUUUUGAUUCUAAUGGCUUCGUUGCAAUAGGUAGAUGGGAAUGAUAUCGUUGAGAGAAGAUAAGUCGAUUUUUUUGUUAUGUAGUGUUCUUGGCUAGUUUGUUUUUAAAUGAUGGUGCAGGUUAGCAAUGAUGAUACCAGGGGUUCAUUGCUUUACUUUCUUAAUUCACGUUUUUGGACUCUAGUUUUGUGUAUCAUCAAUUUGAGCAUUUUUCUGGUUUAGUAUGUCAACUUGUGCACAAAUUAGGUUGGAUCACUAUGGUAGGAAAACAUUCAUUUUUAGGCCUAAUUGAAUUGCUGGUGCUGCAAGUUUAUGUUCUUUUUGUUUGUUUUCGUCUCGGUAUAUUCAUCAGUAGGUGGCACUUUUAGUCAUAAUUCUCGUGAGCCUAAGUACAAGAUUGAAUUCCAUUAUGAUGACUCACCUUUUCCUCCUACCAAAGGGGGCUAUGGUUGUGAUACCAUCUUCUAAUAUAAAGUCAUUUGAUUGUAAGCACGAACCUUCCCUUUGAGUAAUUUGUUUUCGUAUAGGGAGCAUAGAGUGUGCUAUCUAGACCAAGAGUGUGUGGGUAAGAUUGUAUCAGUUGGUAGAUUAAAACUCUCCCACGAAUUGAUUGAAUUCUGGUUAGCCAGAACAAAUGGCUGGUAAGUUCUUUCUGGUAUCUUGUUAAACCAAAUGACCAUUACCAAUCAUUUGGAAACCAAAAGCAAAUUCCCCAGAUUGUGAGGCCCAAAAGGAGUUAUUCUCCUGUGCAAUGAGAGAUGAACCCGAAGAUAUAUUUUUGUAAGUUUGAGCCAUAGUGGAAAAUGAUAGUAGUUGUAGAAGGAUUAGUAAAAAGCAUACAGAAUAUGAUAGUGCAAAAGCCAUGGCGUGAAGAAUACUAUUUCUCUAGUGUUUAGAGUAGUUAACUAUGAAUCAAGUUAUCAAAAUAUAAAGAUCAAUCCCUUGCAUUUAUAUAAGACCUGCUCUAUUUACUGUCCAAAUUUUCUAAGUCAUCCACAGUCCAUUGGAAUUGUCGACAAUUGUUCUUCAUCUUUGGUCUUUCAACUUUAGAUCUUUGAUUUCAUUUUAUGUUGGUGAUUUUGUUGAAUCAUAUGGUGUUGAGUCAUUUUAUGUUGUUGAAUUCGGUGUUGAUAAAGAAGAUUCUCGAGUGUAUCUUCUGAGAAUCUUCAGCUGCAGCAAAUCUCUCUAGUUCCCCUGUUUAUGUUUCAUGGAAUAUGAAUUCAAAUUCAUCAUAAUUCUAUUUACUAAGAGAAUUUAUGCUGUUUUUGGGUUUCAUCAUGUGUGAGUUUGGUGUCAUAGCUCUUCACAAUUGAACUACAGAACUUUGGAAUUCUAUUCCUUCUGUUGGUAUAGCUCUUGCAGGUCUUGGUGAUUUACUUGAAUAGUGAAGAUGGUGGGAAGCAUUGAGGCUGCAAAUGGAUUGGGAAUUAUGCGCACCCUGUUCAGAAUUUCAAUGAUUUGGGACUGCAUUGGCGAAAAUUUAAUAAGCACGAUGCUCUUGAAGUUUAUGUUUAAUAGAACAAUAUAUACAUGAGUUGGUUAUUGUUAGCUUAUGCUUCAUAUGAUAGGUAUAAUGUGUAUAUAUGAGUUGGUGCAUUAUCCAGUUGCUUGUUUUGUGGGCUCAUAUACACUAAGGAGCAAGAACUGACAGAUUUAUAUUAUCUUUGACAGGUUAGGUUUAAUGGUUGUGGGAGGCCUAAUCUUGGCAUCUUUCAUGACAUAUGCGUCGGAGCACCUUGCAACUAGAUCAUUCUUGAGAUUCCUUGAAGACCGAGAUGCUACGAGAAGUAGGAGCUUUUGUUAGAUAUAGUUCACUGGUGACAAAACUGAGCAUGUAAAACUAUUGUCCAAAAGACCAAGUAUGUCCUGUAAGCAGUGUUUGAUGCUUCUGUUGUAAUCUGUUUCACAUGGAACGCCUGGAUGAAUUUGUAAAUUAUUGCCAGAAAAUCUGUUGAUAAGUGGUUUUUCUCGAGGAAAUUUUGUUGUAACAUUGUUACGGAAACUAUUAAUGAUACUGUUAACAUUCUUUCGCACAA